UCCUACGUAGGCAAAUGGUGGAGAGUC
RNAcentral lists this non-coding RNA (27 nucleotides) under Bombyx mori (domestic silkworm). The record is from RNAcentral. Lineage: Eukaryota; Metazoa; Arthropoda; Insecta; Lepidoptera; Bombycidae.